This 525-nucleotide ribosomal RNA is filed under the name uncultured bacterium. RNAcentral's name for it is "partial 16S ribosomal RNA". It matches the Rfam family "Bacterial small subunit ribosomal RNA", at positions 355 to 895 of the family's 1533-position model. The record is from RNAcentral.
UGGGGAAUAUUGGACAAUGGGCGCAAGCCUGAUCCAGCCAUGCCGCGUGAGUGAUGAAGGCCUUAGGGUUGUAAAGCUCUUUCGCCGACGAAGAUAAUGACGGUAGUCGGAGAAGAAGCCCCGGCUAACUUCGUGCCAGCAGCCGCGGUAAUACGAAGGGGGCUAGCGUUGUUCGGAAUCACUGGGCGUAAAGCGCACGUAGGCGGAUUGUUAAGUCAGGGGUGAAAGCCUGGAGCUCAACUCCAGAACUGCCCUUGAUACUGGCAAUCUCGAGUCCGGAAGAGGUAAGUGGAACUGCGAGUGUAGAGGUGAAAUUCGUAGAUAUUCGCAAGAACACCAGUGGCGAAGGCGGCUUACUGGUCCGGUACUGACGCUGAGGUGCGAAAAGCGUGGGGGAGCAAAACAGGAUUAGAUACCCUGGUAGUCCACGCCGUAAACGAUGGAGGCUAGCCGUUGGCGAGCAUGCUCGUCAGUGGCGCAGCUAACGCAUUAAGCCUCCCGCCUGGGGAGUACGGUCGCAAGAUU